UAAUACGUAGGGUGCGAGCGUUAAUCGGAAUUACUGGGCGUAAAGGGUGCGCAGGCGGCUCCGCAAGUCAGGCGUGAAAUCCCCGGGCUUAACCUGGGAAUGGCGCUUGAAACUACGGGGCUGGAGUAUGGCAGAGGGAGGUGGAAUUCCACGUGUAGCGGUGAAAUGCGUAGAGAUGUGGAGGAACACCGAUGGCGAAGGCAGCCUCCUGGGCCAAUACUGACGCUCAUGCACGAAAGCGUGGGGAGCAAACAGGAUUAGAUACCCUGGUAGUCCACGCCCUAAACGAUGAUGACUAGUUGUUGGAGGAGUUAAAUCCUUUAGUAACGCAGCUAACGCGAGAAGUCAUCCGCCUGGGGAGUACGGUCGCAAGAUUAAAACUUAAAGGAAUUGACGG
RNAcentral lists this ribosomal RNA (397 nucleotides) under uncultured bacterium. RNAcentral describes it as "bacterial SSU rRNA". It matches the Rfam family "Bacterial small subunit ribosomal RNA", at positions 521 to 916 of the family's 1533-position model. The record is from RNAcentral.